UGAUCCUGGCUCAGGACGAACGCUGGCGGUGCGCAUUAUGCAUGCAAGUUGAGCGAAGCUUUUCAGUAGUUUACUACAGAAAAUGACUGAGCGGCGAACGGGUGAGUAACGCGUGAGCAAUCUACCUUAGUUACUGGGAUAGCCCGAGGAAACUCGGAUUAAUACCGGAUAUUCUUAUUUUUUCACAUGAAGUUUUAAGGAAAGGUCAGCCGAACUAAGAUGAGCUCGCGUUCUAUCAGCUAGUUGGUGGGGUAAAAGCCUACCAAGGCAACGACGGAUAGCUGGUCUGAGAGGACGAUCAGCCACACUGGGACUGAGACACGGCCCAGACUCCUACGGGAGGCUGCAGCAGGGAAUAUUGUGCAAUGAGCGAAAGCUUGACACAGCGACACCGCGUGUGGGAUGACGGUUCUAGGAUUGUAAACCACUUUCAGGAGGGAAGAAAAUGACGGUACCUCCACAAGAAGACCCGGCCAACUAUGUGCCAGCAGCCGCGGUAAUACAUAGGGGUCAAGCGUUGUCCGGAUUUAUUGGGCGUAAAGAGCUCGUAGGCGGUUCAACAAGUCGGUCGUAAAAGUUUAGGGCUCAACCCUAAAAUGUCGAUCGAUACUGUUGUGACUAGGAUACGGUAGAGGUGAAUGGAAUUCCGAGUGUAGCGGUGAAAUGCGUAGAUAUUCGGAGGAACACCAAUUGCGAAGGCAGUUCACUGGACCGUGAUCGACGCUGAGGAGCGAAAGCUAGGGGAGCAAACAGGAUUAGAUACCCUGGUAGU
This 772-nucleotide ribosomal RNA is filed under the name uncultured marine bacterium. Its description in RNAcentral is "bacterial SSU rRNA". It matches the Rfam family "Bacterial small subunit ribosomal RNA", at positions 14 to 794 of the family's 1533-position model. The record is from RNAcentral.